GACGAACGCUGGCGGCGUGCUUAACACAUGCAAGUCGAACGAUGAAGCCUAGCUUGCUAGGUGGAUUAGUGGCGAACGGGUGAGUAAUACGUGAGUAACCUACCUUUAACUCUGGGAUAAGCCUGGGAAACUGGGUCUAAUACCGGAUACGACCAAUCUCCGCAUGGGGUGUUGGUGGAAAGCGUUAUGUAGUGGUUAUAGAUGGGCUCACGGCCUAUCAGCUUGUUGGUGAGGUAACGGCUCACCAAGGCGACGACGGGUAGCCGGCCUGAGAGGGUGACCGGCCACACUGGGACUGAGACACGGCCCAGACUCCUACGGGAGGCAGCAGUGGGGAAUAUUGCACAAUGGGCGCAAGCCUGAUGCAGCGACGCCGCGUGAGGGAUGACGGCCUUCGGGUUGUAAACCUCUGUUAGCAGGGAAGAAGAGAAAUUGACGGUACCUGCAGAGAAAGCGCCGGCUAACUACGUGCCAGCAGCCGCGGUAAUACGUAGGGCGCGAGCGUUGUCCGGAAUUAUUGGGCGUAAAGAGCUUGUAGGCGGUUUGUCGCGUCUGCUGUGAAAGGCCGGGGCUUAACCCCGUGUAUUGCAGUGGGUACGGGCAGACUAGAGUGCAGUAGGGGAGACUGGAACUCCUGGUGUAGCGGUGGAAUGCGCAGAUAUCAGGAAGAACACCGAUGGCGAAGGCAGGUCUCUGGGCUGUAACUGACGCUGAGGAGCGAAAGCAUGGGGAGCGAACAGG
RNAcentral lists this ribosomal RNA (741 nucleotides) under Rothia mucilaginosa. RNAcentral's name for it is "bacterial SSU rRNA". It matches the Rfam family "Bacterial small subunit ribosomal RNA", at positions 28 to 776 of the family's 1533-position model. Lineage: Bacteria; Bacillati; Actinomycetota; Actinomycetes; Micrococcales; Micrococcaceae. The record is from RNAcentral.